RNAcentral lists this ribosomal RNA (253 nucleotides) under uncultured bacterium. RNAcentral describes it as "partial 16S ribosomal RNA". It matches the Rfam family "Bacterial small subunit ribosomal RNA", at positions 524 to 776 of the family's 1533-position model. RNAcentral also lists the same sequence under 1 other name. The record is from RNAcentral.
UACGUAGGGUGCAAGCGUUGUCCGGAAUUAUUGGGCGUAAAGAGCUCGUAGGCGGUCUGUCGCGUCGGACGUGAAAAUCCAGGGCUCAACCCUGGACCUGCGUUCGAUACGGGCAGACUAGAGUUCGGUAGGGGAGACUGGAAUUCCUGGUGUAGCGGUGAAAUGCGCAGAUAUCAGGAGGAACACCGGUGGCGAAGGCGGGUCUCUGGGCCGAAACUGACGCUGAGGAGCGAAAGCGUGGGGAGCAAACAGG